This is a long non-coding RNA of Spodoptera frugiperda (fall armyworm), 1666 nucleotides long. RefSeq lists it as uncharacterized. NCBI's taxonomy places the organism in Eukaryota, Metazoa, Arthropoda, Insecta, Lepidoptera, Noctuidae. The transcript is spliced from 2 exons. The record is from RefSeq and is a predicted model, not a curated record.
AGGACCGUUUGUGUGAGGUUGUGUUGUUAACACACCCUGUUUGUGAAGGUAGAGGUAUAUUGAAACAUUCUGUAUUAUGUGACUUGAAUAACAUAAGUUUAUGUUUAGACACAUCCUGUAUAACUACUUGUACAACAGCCUAACACCCUGUGUGUAGUUUGUUUAUGUUAAAACACCCUGUUUACAAAGUUAGAGGUGUUUAGAAACAUCCUGUAUUAUGACUUGAGCAACACCCUGUGUUACAUAAUCUUGUAUUUAGACACACCCUCUAUAAUAAUUUGUACAACAGCUUAACACCCUGUGUGUAAGGUUAGAGUGUUUUAGAAACAUCCUGUUUUAUGAAUUAAACAUAACAUUAUGUAUUCUAGUUUUAUCUAGAAUCACUGUAUAAUGACUUGAACAACCCUUAGUAUGAGUUUUUUUAUUUAUAUUUUAACAAUCUUUAGUAUGGUUGGUUAAUUCGAGCCGGCCAAUCAGAGCACCGAACGCGCUCUCGUUUCGAUUACUUUAAACGUAAAGCAAACUCGUACUAAGCUACUGUAUACUUUUGAAGACAACUGAAAAUGUAUUCCAAUAAUAUAAGUACCUAUUAGAGCUUUUCUCCGUUAAUGUACCAGUGAGUAAACCGUGAUUUCUAGUGUAAUUUAGUAUGUCUCACGAUAGUUAUUAUAAAAAUAUUUUCCAAGAAUUCUUUUAUAAGUUAUUAUUAAUUCGCCUUUUUGAAUAAUCUAAAGACUUUAUAUUAUUAGAUUAAGCAUAAUUUUUAAUAUAAUACUAACUGAUGCCCGCGGCUUCGCUCGCUUGGAUUUGCGGACUUUGUGACUAAUAAAAGUAACCUAAGUUACUCCUUGGUACAUCAGCUACCUGCCAAUAAAAGAGUCCCAUCAAAAUCGGGCUAGCCUUUUCAGAGAUUAGCCAGAACAAACAGAAAGACAGACAAAAAUUAUAAAAAUUAAAUUUAUUUAUGUAUUUAAUUCAAAAGUUACAACGGUAGACCACCAACUAAAGCAACUUACAUACAUAAGUAAAACAUAAUUAAACAGGAAUUAACAGCAUUCAUAAGUUCGCCUCGCAGUACUUCAGGCUUCGACAAAAUAUUUUGGUGAUUGUAUAUUCAUAUGCAUGUAAUAAAAUAAAGAGUUGUUAAUUUUAUAUAACAAACAGACAAUUUUAUUUAUUAGUCUAUUACUUUACUAAUAUAUAAAUGCGAAAGUUUGUAUGUAUGUUUGUUACUCAAUCACGUCAAAACGGCUGAAGAAAUUGGGAUGAAAUUUGGAACAGGGGUAGAUUAUGGUCUGGAAUAACACUUAGGAUACUUUUUAUCCCACAGGAAAGCGGACGAAGCCACUGGCAGAAGCUAGUAUUCGAUAUUAUUUGAGAUUUGUCUCUCAGCAAAAUAUUUUUGGUUAAAAUUCUAUUUAGAAUUAAUUCUCACAUAAGUAUUAGAAAUAUAUUAUUUGGCUAUGUAUAAUGUAAUUUAUUAAAAUCAUGAAUUUUUGUAUCGUCAUGAGCUAAUGGUAACAUGUAAACAGUGACUCGUGUAGUGUAGAGAUUGUCCAGUCAACUGAUGGUAGCGUGGACUGUCCAGGCGAUGUAUGCAAGAAUAUUAUAAGAAUUAUGUAAUCUUUUUAUUAUAAUUAUAAAUAAAGUAUACAAACCUUGAAAA